RNAcentral lists this ribosomal RNA (273 nucleotides) under uncultured Nitrosomonas sp. RNAcentral's name for it is "partial 16S ribosomal RNA". It matches the Rfam family "Bacterial small subunit ribosomal RNA", at positions 524 to 796 of the family's 1533-position model. Lineage: Bacteria; Pseudomonadati; Pseudomonadota; Betaproteobacteria; Nitrosomonadales; Nitrosomonadaceae. The record is from RNAcentral.
UACGUAGGGUGCAAGCGUUAAUCGGAAUUAUUGGGCGUAAAGGGUGCGCAGGCGGUUUUGUAAGUCAGAUGUGAAAUCCCCGGGCUUAACCUGGGAAUUGCGUUUGAAACUACAGAACUAGAGUGUGGCAGAGGGAGGUGGAAUUCUAUGUGUAGCAGUGAAAUGCGUAGAGAUAUGGAAGAACAUCGAUGGCGAAGGCAACCUCCUGGGUUAACACUGACGCUCAUGCACGAAAGCGUGGGGAGCAAACAGGAUUAGAAACCCUGGUAGUCC